RNAcentral lists this ribosomal RNA (1344 nucleotides) under uncultured bacterium. RNAcentral's name for it is "partial 16S ribosomal RNA". It matches the Rfam family "Bacterial small subunit ribosomal RNA", at positions 28 to 1381 of the family's 1533-position model. The record is from RNAcentral.
GACGAACGCUCGUGGCGUGCUUAACACAUGCAAGUCGAACGGAAAGGCCCUGCUUUUGUGGGGUGCUCGAGUGGCGAACGGGUGAGUAACACGUGAGUAACCUGCCCUUGACUUUGGGAUAACUUCAGGAAACUGGGGCUAAUACCGGAUAGGAGCUCCUGCUGCAUGGUGGGGGUUGGAAAGUUUCGGCGGUUGGGGAUGGACUCGCGGCUUAUCAGCUUGUUGGUGGGGUAGUGGCUUACCAAGGCUUUGACGGGUAGCCGGCCUGAGAGGGUGACCGGCCACAUUGGGACUGAGAUACGGCCCAGACUCCUACGGGAGGCAGCAGUGGGGAAUAUUGCACAAUGGGCGGAAGCCUGAUGCAGCAACGCCGCGUGCGGGAUGACGGCCUUCGGGUUGUAAACCGCUUUCGCCUGUGACGAAGCGUGAGUGACGGUAAUGGGUAAAGAAGCACCGGCUAACUACGUGCCAGCAGCCGCGGUGAUACGUAGGGUGCGAGCGUUGUCCGGAUUUAUGGGCGUAAGGGCUCGUAGGUGGUUGAUCGCGUCGGAAGUGUAAUCUUGGGGCUUAACCCUGAGCGUGCUUUCGAUACGGGUUGACUUGAGGAAGGUAGGGGAGAAUGGAAUUCCUGGUGGAGCGGUGGAAUGCGCAGAUAUCAGGAGGAACACCAGUGGCGAAGGCGGUUCUCUGGGCCUUUCCUGACGCUGAGGAGCGAAAGCGUGGGGAGCGAACAGGCUUAGAUACCCUGGUAGUCCACGCUGUAAACGGUGGGUACUAGGUGUGGGGUCCAUUCCACGGGUUCCGUGCCGUAGCUAACGCUUUAAGUACCCCGCCUGGGGAGUACGGCCGCAAGGCUAAAACUCAAAGGAAUUGACGGGGCCCCGCACAAGCGGCGGAGCAUGCGGAUUAAUUCGAUGCAACGCGUAGAACCUUACCUGGGUUUGACAUGGAUCGGGAGUGCUCAGAGAUGGGUGUGCCUCUUUUGGGGUCGGUUCACAGGUGGUGCAUGGCUGUCGUCAGCUCGUGUCGUGAGAUGUUGGGUUAAGUCCCGCAACGAGCGCAACCCUUGUUCACUGUUGCCAGCACGUUAUGGUGGGGACUCAGUGGAGACCGCCGGGGUCAACUCGGAGGAAGGUGGGGAUGACGUCAAGUCAUCAUGCCCCUUAUGUCCAGGGCUUCACGCAUGCUACAAUGGCUGGUACAGAGAGUGGCGAGCCUGUGAGGGUGAGCGAAUCUCGGAAAGCCGGUCUCAGUUCGGAUUGGGGUCUGCAACUCGACCUCAUGAAGUCGGAGUCGCUAGUAAUCGCAGAUCAGCAACGCUGCGGUGAAUACGUUCCCGGGGCU